AACGAACGCAGGCGGCAGGCUUAACACAUGCAAGUCGAGCGCCGUAGCAAUACGGAGCGGCAGACGGGUGAGUAACGCGUGGGAAUCUACCCAUCACUACGGAACAACUCCGGGAAACUGGAGCUAAUACCGUAUACGUCCUUCGGGAGAAAGAUUUAUCGGUGAUGGAUGAGCCCGCGUUGGAUUAGCUAGUUGGUGGGGUAAUGGCCCACCAAGGCGACGAUCCAUAGCUGGUCUGAGAGGAUGAUCAGCCACACUGGGACUGAGACACGGCCCAGACUCCUACGGGAGGCAGCAGUGGGGAAUAUUGGACAAUGGGCGCAAGCCUGAUCCAGCCAUGCCGCGUGAGUGAUGAAGGCCCUAGGGUUGUAAAGCUCUUUCACCGGUGAAGAUAAUGACGGUAACCGGAGAAGAAGCCCCGGCUAACUUCGUGCCAGCCGCCGCAGUAA
This 449-nucleotide ribosomal RNA is filed under the name uncultured bacterium. RNAcentral describes it as "partial 16S ribosomal RNA". It matches the Rfam family "Bacterial small subunit ribosomal RNA", at positions 29 to 523 of the family's 1533-position model. The record is from RNAcentral.